GUGGGGAAUCUUCCGCAAUGGACGAAAGUCUGACGGAGCAACGCCGCGUGAGUGAAGAAGGUUUUCGGAUCGUAAAGCUCUUUCGUUAGGGACGAACGUGCUCUUUGUGAAUAAUGAGGAGUAAUGACGGUACCUAAAUAAGAAGCCACGGCUAACUACGUGCCAGCAGCCGCGGUAAUACGUAGGUGGCAAGCGUUGUCCGGAAUUAUUGGGCGUAAAGCGCGCGCAGGCGGGAUAUCAAGUCUGUCUUAAAAGUGCGAGGCUCAACCUCGUGAGGGGACAGAAACUGGGAUUCUUGAGUGUCGGAGAGGAAAGUGGAAUUCCAAGUGUAGCGGUGAAAUGCGUAGAGAUUUGGAAGAACACCAGUGGCGAAGGCGACUUUCUGGACGAUGUCUGACGCUGAGGCGCGAAAGCUAGGGGAGCGAACGGGAUUAGAUACCCGUGUAGUCC
This 450-nucleotide ribosomal RNA is filed under the name uncultured bacterium. RNAcentral's name for it is "partial 16S ribosomal RNA". It matches the Rfam family "Bacterial small subunit ribosomal RNA", at positions 354 to 796 of the family's 1533-position model. The record is from RNAcentral.